GGGGCGGGGUCACGUGCUCCUGGUUGUCUCUGCCCCGCGGGGAGGCGGAAGCUCUUGGGAGCAGGCGGGACGCUGGUGGGGUGACGUGACGCGACGCCGGGGCAGCCCCAGACCCUGCGAGACCAGUGACAACGUGAGGGAGGUUUGCAACAGGGCGAACUCCCGAGCAGCCCCGGCGUGGUUUCCCAAAUCGUGUCAAAGCGGGAUUCAUUGGGCGUGAGCGGCUCAAAGCCCCUCCUGGGCCUGUUUUAAAUUGCGGCUUAGUAGCCCCGGGCCAGCCCUGAUUUGAACUCGUGCAUCAAUGACUGGACGUGCCUCUCUUGGGUCUCAGUGUGGACGACAUACAUCGGAGUGACUGCAGCCCUAGAGAUACAAUAGCUUCUGCAGUCCCUCCAUGAGCAGAGCUGAAUCAGGAUCCAAAAUGGACUGCUUGCCUUCAGGUUUGCUCCUUCAUAAAAGGGCCACCAAGACAUUCCACUAAACCAACAAAGAGUCUAUUCCAGAAGAAGGAACUGUGGGGGCGUCAGAGGCAGCAGAAUGUGCUCACUUUGCCCUGACGGGUACUGCUGAGGGAAAAAUCUGGCAACUGUGCACUACGUGAGCACACACCUACAGUGGAAUGGAUGUGUGCGCUACAUCUCUAAGAACAACAGUUACAGAAGAUGGGCUUACUCUGGAAAACACCCACAGGCAGCCUUUCAGAUACAACAGUGAAGAAGCCAGACAGUGCUGAUGGGUCAUCAACAAAGACAGUGGACUGUGGAAUAACUUAACCUUCCUGUGAAUGUUUUGGCCAGUCUGUAAAUAAUAACUGCUAUAACACUGCAAGGGCAUGUGAUGAGACCACAUGUCUCUGGACGCCAGCUUGGGAUGUCUGUAUUUUUACACAAACUGAUCUGGGAACCAAGUUUUGAGACUAAGGCUUCCCAUCAUAUGCUAAAGCUACAUAAGGCAGGGAGUGACAUCAUCUGUUGUUGUUCACUCCCUACACAAGAAGACUCCUGGAAACACCUGAGAAACAAAGACUGAACUGGUGGAAGUGCUGGACCCAGGCUAAAGAGAUUUCUAACCUGUGAAUGAAACACCUGGGGAUUCCAGCUUGUAGCUUGUGCCUUAAGAAUCUGCAGCCUGCUCGUAUCAUCAAUCAGGGUGAGAGAUUGUUAAUUCAAAUCCUAGCUUUCUAAUAUGUUAAGCUUAGUUUGCAUUUUUGUUUAUUUCUGCUUUGAUGUGUUUGUUAUCACUUAUAAUCAUUUAAAAUCUAUCUUUUGUAGUUAAUAUGUUUAUUUUAUGUUUUAAUCUAAACAAGUGAGUUUGGAGUGAAGUGUGUGGGAAUCAUAGGGAUUGUUUCUGUUUUCAGUUUCUAAAGAGUUGUUAGGAAGAAAUCUCAGAAAAAUGUUAAGAUUUUUUUUUGUUAAUUAAAAAUUAAUAUUUUAAGGGCUGAAUAUAUUAAAGGUUUUUCUCCCUUCAUAUAAAAGUAAUUCUCCACUAGAUGCACAAGCACAACCUCUCAUGACCGUUAAUGAAAGUUUCAAGUGCCCAUAAAUGGGAAAACAAACACAUCAUCAUCACAGGAAAAAGUUUACAGCAAACCCUGGCCCAAAAAAGACAAUUCAACCUUUAAUCACACAGGUGGAAGUUAAAGGCGGUGUACAAAAGAUACUGAAUUUGUGCAUGAAAAAGUUAAGUUAUUGUGCAUGUGUAUAGAUACCGGCAUGGUCAAACAGAUGUUUGCAUGCAUAGUUACCUUAUUUGCAUAAACUAAUGUGGUAAAUUCAUGCAAUUUUGUAGAUGUGUGCACGUUUUUUUAAUAUGCUCACAUUCACCUAUUAAGAAUUUGGCUCAGAAUCAGCAACUUAUCAAUUUACUCCAUCACUCCUUACACAGGUCAGUCUCUUGAGAAGUACAGAAUAUUCAAACACUCCACAGAAAAACAAUAGAUACUUUAGUGUGUUUUCAGCAUUUUAUUUGAGUCACUUAAGGUAAUAAAAAUGAUAUUCAGAGCACUGGGGUAUAUACUUGCAAUAACCAAUUUUUGUGGUUUUCACAUUUCAAAACUUUGUGUUGGUAUUUAAUUACAUACUCUAGUGAAUAGGAAUUAAAUAGUUUGAGAGUCCUCUAGUGGCCCUCACUGUCUUUUAUGUUCCAAAACCCAUUAGAACUCCGCCAAAACAGCAUGUAUGUAUAUAGCUAGACCUUGCAUGUUAUAUAUAGUUAUUUGGACACCAUCACAUAAAGAGAUAAAAGACAACAUCUGCUAUGGGCAUUUAUUGCCUUAUAUGCAGGCUUAAAUUCUCUUAGAGUAUUUCCCGGAGUCCCCCCAUCCCCCUACCCCACGAUGCUAUAAAAACUCCAGGGCCCAGCACAGGGGGUGGGGGCGAACUCAGGGCUUCUUCCCUGCAACAGGGUGGUGGGGCUCAGGGCUUCAGCCCUGCGGGACAUGCCAGCGCUUGGGGCUUCAGCCCCACAAAUAUGAAAAUAUUUACCAGAGCUUUGCUACGGACAGUUCUGACUAAAUUUAAGCCCUGCUUAUAUGCAAAUCCACUAUGAACCUUAUCUCAAGUAACAGCAUAAAGAGUCACUUCAAUUAAGUUGCCAUAGUACUGCAACCCUCAGGAGCAACUGCUGCCAGUGGAGGGGAGCAGACUAUAAAGCUGGUUUCCCAACAGCAUAACACACCCAAGCAACAGAUCAGCAAAGACAAGGAUCCAGAACCUCUAUGUGAGGGAUGUGAGUGAACAAAAAGUCAUUUUACAUUAGGGAGAAAGUGCCAAUGACAGUGGGUGAGGUGAGGUUUGGAUAUGCUUCAGAUAACCCGCCAGACUUUUUGGAUUCCAGCUACAGAGACCUGGACAACGCUGCCAAGAAGAGUGGACAGAGCCUCAAAGCUCCUAGAGCCAAAACAGAGCCACAAGUCCUCCAUAUAAAUAGCCCUGUGUUUCCAGUAGGUCUUGGAGGAUCAUGGACUUAGUGGCUGCAUUCCAUUCAUGAAAAUGGCAAACCUUAUCUCUCUGCCCAAUGAAAGAAAUGAAGAGGAAACACCUUGAGGGAUCUGUAAACUGGUACUCCCUCACAGGGACUCGAUUGGCACAUCUAAAUUAUAACCAUCCGUUCUGAAAUAAUCUCUUCAUAGGUCAGUCAGCAUUGCCACUGAUCAGCCAUUAACUGCACUAGCAGAUGUUUUACUGUAAGACUGGAAGUUAGAACCACCUAACAGAGCCCCACACUCCCCACGUACACAAUGGUGGGUCAGCCAUAUGCCUAUAUGCUUCCAAUAAAGCCCUUCAGGAGAACAUUUGCCAGUGAGCACUUGAUCAUCCCUCCUGCUUCUCAUAAUGGCUAGAAAUUCAUACCUUUAUCCACAUAUUUAUUAGUUAUGACCUUCUGCCAUAAGAGCAAUUUGCUUAGUGCACUCGAUGUGAUUUUGUAUGAUUUGCCAAGCUAAUUUUUAUCUCCAUGUCUAGCAUUUGAAAAUCUUUUGCCUCCGUAUUAAUUUAACAUUUUUAUCUUUUACCCAUUAAAUGCUGCUCAUUGUGACCUUUAAAUUCACUUACAAAGGAUAAUCCAUUGGUUAAUCUGAACCAAUUGGCCUCAGUUACACAUUCAGUGACAAACCAUUAUUUCUGUCCCAGUUCUUUAAUUGGCCGGAAUGCUCUUUCCUAUCAGAUAUAUUACCUGUCAGAGUUGCCUGCUAGCCUUUGCAUACUUCCUGGAUACUGUCCAGGCCAUUAAAGCAACAUCUUCUGUUCAAGUCUGGAAUAUUUAUCCUGAGCCAAAAUCCUAGCUUUCUCCCUGCUCUUAAUUAAAGCCUUAAGAAUGUUGGCUGGGUCAUUCUACA
Molecule: long non-coding RNA, 3835 nt
Organism: Mauremys mutica (yellowpond turtle)
Lineage: Eukaryota; Metazoa; Chordata; Testudines; Geoemydidae
Exons: 4
Source: RefSeq, a predicted model, not a curated record